Molecule: ribosomal RNA, 360 nt
Filed under: Austrolittorina araucana
Lineage: Eukaryota; Metazoa; Mollusca; Gastropoda; Littorinimorpha; Littorinidae
Description: partial 12S ribosomal RNA
Rfam family: Bacterial small subunit ribosomal RNA
Source: RNAcentral
UUAGAUAUAAAUAAAUUUUAUUUACCUGAGUACUACGAGUCGCAACUUAAAACUCAAAGAGCUUGGCGGUGCCUUAGACUUAUCAGGGGAACCUGUCUCAUAACCGACAAUCCACGAAUCAACCUCACCUUUAUUUGCAAUCAGUAUGUAUACCGUCGUCGCCAGGUAACUUUUAAAAAUAUAAAAGUUAGCAAAGAAACUAUUAAGUUUUUACGUCAGAUCAAGGUGCAGCUUAUAUAAAGGAGAUGAUGGGUUACAAUUAAAAAUUAUAAUCACGGACGUCGAUCUUAAUAGAUCUUCAGAAGGAGGACUUGAAAGUAAAAGCUAGCAGUCAAAUGUUUUGAAUCAAGCUCUGAGGCG